GAAUUGCAGAAUUCCGUGAAUCAUCGAGUUUUUGAACGCAAGUUGCGCCCGAGGCUUGUCCGAGGGCAUGCCUGCCUGAGCGUCCG
RNAcentral lists this ribosomal RNA (86 nucleotides) under Cololejeunea gracilis. RNAcentral's name for it is "partial 5.8S ribosomal RNA". It matches the Rfam family "5.8S ribosomal RNA", at positions 69 to 154 of the family's 154-position model. Rfam says of the family: 5.8S ribosomal RNA (5.8S rRNA) is a component of the large subunit of the eukaryotic ribosome. It is transcribed by RNA polymerase I as part of the 45S precursor that also contains 18S and 28S rRNA. The record is from RNAcentral. Lineage: Eukaryota; Viridiplantae; Streptophyta; Jungermanniopsida; Porellales; Lejeuneaceae.